Molecule: non-coding RNA, 71 nt
Organism: Cordylochernes scorpioides
Lineage: Eukaryota; Metazoa; Arthropoda; Arachnida; Pseudoscorpiones; Chernetidae
Source: the annotation of a GenBank genome assembly
UGCCCAAAGCGGGAUUCGAACCCGGGUCGUUGCGGUCUAAAACCAAUGGUUUAGACCACUCGCCCAUCGAC